UAUAUAUAUAUAUAUAUAUAUAUAUAUAUACAUGCCAAAUGUUUAAAAACUAACUCUUGGUGAAGUAGAACUGAGACUGCAGUGUUGUCGUGGUGACUUGGUGACGGAGGAGCAGCACCAUCUGUUGUCCAAACGCGGUCGCAGUAAUGAGGUCGCUUCAUAAAAUGACGGCGGCGCGGCGGCGAGGUUUAUCGUUGAUCGGCUUUACUGGGAGAUCUCCUCCGUCUGACUGAAGGCCGGAAAGCGCCUGCGUGUGAACUUGGUGGCUACGAAGGUCCCAAGGUCGUUACCGCGGCGCCCUGUCUGGUCACCGCCUCGCCCUUCACCACCACGGCGUCUCCUUCCACCAGGGCCGGCCACACGUGGUACAUCACCCGGGGAGCCGCCCGCUCAGAGUCGUAGCUGCGACGGUACCUGGAGAGCAGGUGAAAUGUUAUUGGCAAUCAAAAGUAUCGCCGAGGAAUAACACACACACACACACUGAGGACUGACUUCCUGUCGUCGAAAAGCUCUCUGUCGGUGGCGGGCGCCAAGUCGAGCGGCGGUUCCAGCAUCUGCAUGGCGAAGGCCGCCUUGCACGCCUCCCUGAUCAGGCUGUUGAUGAAGAAGAAGUCCACCUCCGGCAGGAAGGUGACCCACGGGUCCACGCUCAUGGCGUCGAGCACGUCCUGCGCAGAAGAGAAGAGGCCGGCGCGUCAGAGCCGCGGCCCUCCGCGCCCGGGACGCGCUGCGGGGAGACGCGCGUUUGAUUCCCACCUUCAUGCUGGACUGGACGUCGUAGAGGUGCAUGUUGUGGACCAGGAAGUCCCUGGUGGCGUCCUCCAAACUCUCUGGCCCGGAGUGGGACGGCGACAAGGUCUUCCUCCAGCGCGCCUUGAGCUGUCGGUACGCCCGCUUCGCUCGGUUAAAGGACUCCUGAUACGGGAGAACAUCUUGAAGUAUUUCUAUUCAUACAAAGUUAUAUAUAUAUAUAUACAAUCGUGAUCUCGUGAAUAAAAUAAAUCCUGUUACCGGCUGCACGUCAAACCCAUUCGGAGAAUCAAACAAGAUGACAGAGGUGA
Molecule: non-coding RNA, 1061 nt
Organism: Gasterosteus aculeatus aculeatus (three-spined stickleback)
Lineage: Eukaryota; Metazoa; Chordata; Actinopteri; Perciformes; Gasterosteidae
Source: RefSeq, a predicted model, not a curated record